GCGUGCCUAACACAUGCAAGUCGAGCGGAGAUUGCAGCAAUGUGAUCUUAGCGGCGGACGGGUGAGUAACGCGUGGGCAACCUGCCUCAUACAGGGGGAUAACACUGGGAAACUAGUGCUAAUACCGCAUAACAUCAAGAGAAGACAUCUUUUUUUGAUCAAAGGAGCAAUCCGGUAUGAGAUGGGCCCGCGUCCGAUUAGCUAGUUGGUGAUGUAACGGACCACCAAGGCGACGAUCGGUAGCCGAACUGAGAGGUUGAUCGGCCACAUUGGGACUGAGACACGGCCCAGACUCCUACGGGAGGCAGCAGUGGGGAAUAUUGCGCAAUGGGGGGAACCCUGACGCAGCAACGCCGCGUGA
RNAcentral lists this ribosomal RNA (361 nucleotides) under uncultured bacterium. RNAcentral describes it as "bacterial SSU rRNA". It matches the Rfam family "Bacterial small subunit ribosomal RNA", at positions 42 to 404 of the family's 1533-position model. The record is from RNAcentral.